This is an RNA transcript of Oncorhynchus kisutch (coho salmon), 1444 nucleotides long. It is a transcript of the gene named fibroleukin-like, with no coding region annotated. The record is from RefSeq and is a predicted model, not a curated record. The transcript has 3 exons. NCBI's taxonomy places the organism in Eukaryota, Metazoa, Chordata, Actinopteri, Salmoniformes, Salmonidae.
GGACAGAUCACGGCUCUGCAGGGCCGUCUAGAGAACUAAGCCUGAUCAACAUGAGGAACGUGGAGGCCAUCGUGGACAGCAAGUGGAGAACAUCACUGGAGUGAUCAACAAGCUCAGUAACAACUGUAACCACCAGUGUGCCGUCCAGCCCUCUCCUCAGUUCAUCAUCGCUCCCAAGGACUGCUCUGACUACAACAUGCUAAAGGAGAGGAGGAACGGAGUCUACCAGGUCACGCCAGACCCCAAGAACGGCACGUUCCAGGUCUACUGCGACAUGGAGUCGUUCGGCGGCGGCUGGACCCUGGUGCAGCAGCGCCUCAAUGGCACCGUCAGCUUCAACCGCUCCUGGGCUGAGUACAAGACGGGAUUUGGUGACCCCCGGGGAGAGUUCUGGUUGGGCAACGACCGCAUCCACCUCCUGACCAAGGCCAAGGACAUGGUUCUGCGCAUCGAACUGGAGGACUUCCAAGGGGUGCGGGAGUAUGCCAAGUUCGACCAGUUCUACGUGGCCAACGAGUUCCUGAGGUAUCGCCUCUCCAUCAGCGGGUACAGUGGCACGGCCGGCAACGCGCUGCACAUGAACAAGCACUUCAACCACGACCAGAAGUUCUUCACCACGCCAGACAGGGACAACGACAUGUACCCGUCAGGGAACUGCGGCGCGUACUACAGCUCUGGGUGGUGGUUUGACGCCUGCAUGUCAGCCAAUCUCAAUGGGAAAUACUACCACAAGAGAUACAAGGGCGUGAGGAACGGCAUCUUCUGGGGAACAUGGCACAACAUGUCUAGUGAAGCAUACCCCACCAACUACAGGCAGGCCUUCAAGACGGUCAAAAUGAUGAUACGGCCGAAGAACUACGCUCCGUAAAGGAGAACGGAAACAACCGGAAACAUCAGAAAUACUUUUUUCUUCUUGACUUUCUGCUUCUUUGACCUUUCUGCCUCCCACUGUCAAGUUUAACCACACGGUUCAGAGACAGUCUGAGACACCUGGGUUCCCGGGAAUAAAACAGCAAUGAAAUCUUCAAAAGGUUGGAAAAGUCUCCACCGAAGACAAACGUAUGAUAUCACAGUCAUAGGAAAUGUCUGGCUAUCGGUCAAACAACAUACUAUGGACCAUGUGCCACUGAACUAACAACAGCAACAAAAUGGAGUCAGAUAUGUUUGCUUUCUGCAGAAUAAUUACAUUGGUUGACUGCAGGCACCGCAACUGUUUCCAGACAUCUGUAAUUCCAUUGUCUGUAUAAUACUGCCACCUAGCGUUAUGUCAUUGCAUUGCAUCCUCAUCUAGACAGGCUAAGCAGCAUGGAAACUAAAGGCCGCAAGUUCAAGGAGGAAAUGUACAGUAUUUAUUUUUGAAAGUAUGAUAGCUUUUGUAUAACUAAUAUAUGGACUGUAUGUUCAUGCAGUACACAGUGAUUGCCUAAGAUGAGUAGCCCAAAAA